Molecule: long non-coding RNA, 175 nt
Organism: Sciurus carolinensis (gray squirrel)
Lineage: Eukaryota; Metazoa; Chordata; Mammalia; Rodentia; Sciuridae
Exons: 3
Source: RefSeq, a predicted model, not a curated record
AAGAGGCGGAGGCGGUGGCUGGUUUCCUUGUGGCUGGCGCGCCCGGGAUGGGGCGUUUGGAAGGAAAAUGCUUUUGAUGACGGAUAACACGAGAUAAUCUUAAAAUGGUAGUAGCUAGUUGGAGAGCUGGAAGAACCAGUAGCUGUGAAGUCCAAGAGGCAGAGGCCCCAGAAUA